This 51-nucleotide small RNA is filed under the name Arabidopsis thaliana (thale cress). RNAcentral describes it as "ATSL018440". Lineage: Eukaryota; Viridiplantae; Streptophyta; Magnoliopsida; Brassicales; Brassicaceae. The record is from RNAcentral.
CCCUGCUCCUCUUCCUCGUCCUCUUCCACGUCCCCUGUAACCAUUAUGAUU